Molecule: unclassified non-coding RNA, 2263 nt
Filed under: Lingula anatina
Lineage: Eukaryota; Metazoa; Brachiopoda; Lingulata; Lingulida; Lingulidae
Description: ras-related and estrogen-regulated growth inhibitor, transcript variant X1
Source: RNAcentral
GUUACGUCUCCUCACACCUGCCGCGAAGUUGUGUUGCCAUGGCGAGCGCGAGGGCCCUCGUGGCGGGUUGAAGAAGGCUGCCAUUACCCUAAUUGAAGCUUGAAAGAUGGCAACAACUUGUUCGUCAGAGCGGCAGAAACUGUAAUUUGGGUGCACCAGGUCGUGGAGAUCUGGAGAAAAAAUCUACUUAUAAUACCAACGAGUUUAGCCGUCACUUGAAAGACCCUCAGAAGAUCGGGAUUUACUUAAAAGCUUUUGGCUGAAAAUAUUCUCAUUUGAGAAAGAGAAAAACAAUUUUGGGGGAAUUCAGAAGAUUCCUGGCCGUUCUAUCAGUUAUUGCUGUGUAUCUCGGUGGUAUCUCAGUUCUAGGGUUUUACCUCAGCAGUGGUGUGGACUACAAUCUCCGGGUGCCAAGCGUGCAUGGCGUUCUCGUGUUUCCGUGAUAUUCUAAUCAAGUUGUGGAUAAACAGACUGUUAAUAUGAAAACAACCACAUUAACUUGUGUAUUCAGGUUGUCACUGCAGAUACUGUGUCUACUUCUUCAGUGAGGAUAGAAAGGGUAAUAGUUCGUCAUAAUCCAAGAAUGGCGGGGGGCGAGGAGAACGGUCGACUCACCUCUGGGGGACGAGACAUGAAUAUUCUGGUCCUGGGAAUGGACGGAGUCGGGAAAACAGCUCUGAUAGUUCGUUACAUUACGAAGAGAUACAUUGGGGACUACGACCCGUACUCGGAAGCAAUGUACACCUCUAACUCCGUGAUUGACGGCAAACCAGUAACCUUGCGGGUGAUAGACACAGUCGGUUUGGAGAAGAACAGCAAAAGGUCAGAGCAGAUAACGUGGGCCGAUGGGUUCGUGCUGGUUUUCUCUCUCACCUGCAGGAAAAGUUUUGAAGCCGUGAAAAGAAUCAAAGAACACAUCAAUGAACUUAGGCAAGACACAAAGAUACCCAUGAUACUUGUCGGAAAUAAAGCGGAUUUGUCUCACGCCCGCGCGGUCAACCCGGUAGAAACCCGAGGCCUUGCCACGGACUUGCAGUGCCCGAUGUUUGAAACGUCUGCCAGUGAUAACUACGGCAGUGUUGUGAACGCCUUUCACGCCCUCUAUCGGGAGGUGCGGACAGUACUGAAGCAAAGAGAAAAAGUGAAAAAGGUGAUGCAGAAGCCCGGUAUUUCUAAGAAACUCCAAAUUGCAAACGCUUUGAGGAAUUUACGAGAGUUUCGAAUCAGGACCUAUACUGUUUGACGAGUAUCUAGAUUUUCUUAUGUUGAAUAUAGUGUGGAAAUGUUUGAUAUAAGGCACACUUUCAACGUGGGUUGAAAACUGAGCAGGCCAGGCGGGUUCGAGGUCUAGGCUUCAAACGACUUAACCAGCUUUUAAGAUGACUUUUACCAACAUGACAUACAUGUAUUGGAGGCGAGGGUUCACUUUUGUGAAACAAGUCCACUGGUUCUGAAUGGAAGCGUUUUAGAGGAUACUGGUAGCAUCAGGAAUCAUAAUAUUGCAUCACUUCUGGAAAGAGCUCGUGACUGGAAACAAAUACAUGUAUAUUAGAGAGACAAUGGCUGCACUUUUGACGAUUAUGGAGUGCUGAUUGUUUCUAUAUAUAUUUUUUAUAAUUUUGAAAUAUAAUUAUAUUUGUAAUAUUUUCAUCUAUGUAUUUACAUAAAUAUUCAAAUAAAUAUCCUUAGAUUGGUGCUUUAAAUUUUGAAGUUUUGCUUGAGAAAAAUUGUAUAAUGUGAAAACAAUCAGUAGUACUGUGUAAUGUUAUUCUAUAUGCUUAGUUAGAAAUCAGUAUUAAAGAUCAUGUUGGAAAGGUAAUUUCUCAGUGUAACUUCGUAUUGAGUUAACUGCAAAACGUUUGUGAUGUGUUAAAUAAUUGUUAUGGUAUUACGUGAAGCACAGACAAACACGAAUAGAGUUGUAAAUUUGCAUGUGCCUAUAUUUUAAAAUUCUUUUUUCUUUUUUUUUUUUUGCAUUUUAUUUAUUAUUUAUCUACAUUUUUCGGUAAUGAGGGGAGAGUACUUAUAAAGUAAUUUUUAUGUCAUAUCGUCCCAAGUAUAGAUAUAAUUAUCACCAUCUUUGAUAUUUUCUGAUCUGCUAAUUUAUCCGUUAUUAUGUUAAAUAGAUGGUUGCUAUAGUAACCUGUGUACAUUAACUUUCCCAGUACUAGAAUAUACAUGCAAAAAGUUAACGAACCUUGGAGUUGGGCCAUCAAAAAACAGGGCGGCAAAUUUAUCACCUUGAGAGAGUUAUGUCCUCUAU